Molecule: ribosomal RNA, 558 nt
Filed under: uncultured fungus
Lineage: Eukaryota; Fungi
Description: eukaryotic LSU rRNA
Rfam family: Eukaryotic large subunit ribosomal RNA
Source: RNAcentral
CCUCAGUAACGGCGAGUGAAGCGGCANCAGCUCAAAUUUGAAAUCUGNUCCUUUCAGGGCCCGAGUUGUAAUUUGUAGAGGAUGUUUCGGGUGCGGCGCGGGUCUAAGUCCUUUGGAACAGGGCGUCAUAGAGGGUGAGAAUCCCGUAUGUGACCCGUGAUCAAGCCCAUGUGAAACCCCUUCGACGAGUCGAGUUGUUUGGGAAUGCGGCUCAAAAUGGGUGGUAAAUUUCAUCUAAAGCUAAAUACUGGCCAGAGACCGAUAGCGCACAAGUAGAGUGAUCGAAAGAUGAAAAGCACUUUGGAAAGAGAGUCAAAAAGUACGUGAAAUUGUUGAAAGGGAAGCGCUUGCAACCAGACCUGUCCGCAGGCGAUCAACUCCCGUUCUCGGGGGUGCACUCGUCUGUGAUCAGGCCAGCAUCGGUUCGGGCGGUCGGAUAAAGGCCUUGGGAAUGUAGCUCCUUCCGGGGAGUGUUAUAGCCCUCGGUGCAAUGCGGCCAGCCCGGACCGAGGACCGCGCCUUCGGGCUAGGAUGCUGGCGUAAUGGUUGUAAGCGACC